CCUACGGGAGGCAGCAGUGAGGAAUAUUGGUCAAUGGACGAGAGUCUGAACCAGCCAAGUCGCGUGAAGGAUGACUGCCCUAUGGGUUGUAAACUUCUUUUAUAUGGGAAUAAAGUGUUCCACGUGUGGGAUUUUGUAUGUACCAUAUGAAUAAGGAUCGGCUAACUCCGUGCCAGCAGCCGCGGUAAUACGGAGGAUCCGAGCGUUAUCCGGAUUUAUUGGGUUUAAAGGGUGCGGAGGUGGAUUGUUAAGUCAGUUGUGAAAUUUUGGGGCUCAACCGGAAAAUUGCAGUUGAAACUGGCAGUCUUGAGUACAGGAGAGGUGUGCGGAAUGCGUGGUGUAGCGGUGAAAUGCUUAGAUAUCACGAAGAACUCCGAUUGCGAAGGCAGCUCACUGGAGUGCAACUGACACUGAGGCUCGAAAGUGUGGGUAUCAAACAGGAUUAGAUACCCCUGUAGUC
Molecule: ribosomal RNA, 460 nt
Filed under: uncultured bacterium
Lineage: Bacteria
Description: partial 16S ribosomal RNA
Rfam family: Bacterial small subunit ribosomal RNA
Source: RNAcentral